Molecule: ribosomal RNA, 463 nt
Filed under: uncultured bacterium
Lineage: Bacteria
Description: bacterial SSU rRNA
Rfam family: Bacterial small subunit ribosomal RNA
Source: RNAcentral
CCUACGGGAAGGCAGCAGUGGGGAAUAUUGCACAAUGGGCGCAAGCCUGAUGCAGCCAUGCCGCGUGUAUGAAGAAGGCCUUCGGGUUGUAAAGUACUUUCAGCAGUGAGGAAGGUGGGUAUGUUAAUAGCAUAUUCAUUUGACGUUAGCUGCAGAAGAAGCACCGGCUAACUCCGUGCCAGCAGCCGCGGUAAUACGGAGGGUGCGAGCGUUAAUCGGAAUUACUGGGCGUAAAGCGCAUGCAGGUGGUUUGUUAAGUCAGAUGUGAAAGCCCGGGGCUCAACCUCGGAAUUGCAUUUGAAACUGGCAAACUAGAGUACUGUAGAGGGGGUAGAAUUUCAGGUGUAGCGGUGAAAUGCGUAGAGAUCUGAAGGAAUACCGGUGGCGAAGGCGGCCCCCUGGACAGAUACUGACACUCAGAUGCGAAAGCGUGGGGAGCAAACAGGAUUAGAUACCCUGGUAG